CACGUUUAGUGCGUCAAAAACAGUAGAACAAACCCUCUUAAAACGACUGGUUCCACAUCCGUAGAACACAAAAAUGUCUCUUACCUUUUUCAAUAUUUACACCAUUUAAAACAAACCCUAAUCCAUUAUUUGCCGCUGCCUUUCUUUUCGCGUAGCCUUCCUCCUCAUCCUCAUCCUCUCCUGUAGCCGCCGACUGCACCCAGCCAGCAAGCAGCAGUCGCGCUGCAGAUUGACCUAGGGAGCAGGAUGAUUACGAGUUGGUGAAUUGCAUUGCUUUUACCUUCUUAUGUGAAAAAGAUUGACAUUUUGUUGUUCUUAUCAGUUGGGUAAUUCUAUUUGUUUCAUUCUUGUUAUCAUGUAUGCCAGACUAAUAUUUCAUGUAAUCGCGGAUUCUGUACUUGUAUACGGCCGGUGUUUUCAUAGUUGUUGUAAUUGUCUUUUAGUGUUUGAUGACAGUUUGCUGAGAUGAUUGUUGUAAUUGUUUUUUAUUGUUUGAAGACUACUAAGAUGUAGACAUGUAUGGAAGCCUACUUCCGGAAAAUAGAGACUCAUAAUUUUUACACUUAUA
This is a long non-coding RNA of Malus domestica (apple), 568 nucleotides long. RefSeq lists it as uncharacterized. The record is from RefSeq and is a predicted model, not a curated record. NCBI's taxonomy places the organism in Eukaryota, Viridiplantae, Streptophyta, Magnoliopsida, Rosales, Rosaceae.